UUAACUAUAGCAUAAAUAAAUGUUUUAUUUUUACAAGAUAAAGAUAUCUAAUUGAUUAGUUAAU
Molecule: transfer RNA, 64 nt
Filed under: Ciona intestinalis (vase tunicate)
Lineage: Eukaryota; Metazoa; Chordata; Ascidiacea; Phlebobranchia; Cionidae
Also listed under: 1 other name
Description: tRNA (ENSCING00000025217.1)
Source: RNAcentral